UCAGAGUGGCAAGGCAAUCGAAGUUCCCACAUCGAAGGGCUCAAUCAGUGAUGCGGGUCAUCUCAUGCACAACUUGAGCAUAUUCCCAUCAAUGAAAUUCAGAAGAUCGUGUCGGAACCCCUUGGUACCUCGCUCCCCAUUUCCGGAUCAGCCCAGGCUUCAAGAUCUUCGCUGUCUCCAGAUGCCCCUUGUGCCCUGCAAGACAUUCUCGCUUCGCAGGCCGAGGAUAUCUCCAAAGGAAAGGUCAAAGCAGCCAAAAGAAUAUGGUUGUUGCAUUCGACAUCAACGGUGUCCUUCUCCACGAUGAUAAAAUCACUCCAGAAUCUCGCCGGGUGAGGGAACUCCUCAACGGUGAUAACGAACUUGGUAUCAAAAUCCCGUAUAUGCUCCUUACAAAUGGGAGUGGCAAGACCGAAGUAGAUCGCACAGAACAAAUAUCUUGCAUCCUAGGCUCUCCCAUCUCCACCGCACAGUCCAUCCAAUCCCACACGCCCAUGCAAGCUCGUGCCGAAUAGGGUUUCGCGACCCGCGCUGCCGCAGAGGCGUACGGAUUCAAAAACAUCGUCGUCCCAGGACACCCUCGCCUGGGGCCCCAGCAUCUCUCCUCCCUGGAGAAACUUUACCGAGAAGGACCACAAGCAGGCCAGACCACAGGACUUCGACAAUGUCACAUUCCAUUCCAUUCUUGUUUUCGCCGACUCGCGCGACUCGUGCGACUAUGCCACCAAUUUCCAGAUAACGAUGGAGCUACUUCUGAGUGAGAACGGCCGACUCCGGACAAAGGCCAAUAACUCUCUAGCCAAACAGAUGCCCAUCCACUUCUUGCAGGGCAAUAUCAUCUUCCAAACAGACCACAAGCUCCUGCGGAUGACCCAAGGUCCCUUCCGCAUCGCCCUCGAAACGAUGUACAAGUCACUCACGACGGAUAUCUCGAGCGAGUAGUCUACGCCAAGCCUGAGCUGGCUACCUACAAGUUUGCAGAUGGAGUCACUAUGUUGUGGAUGAAAGAGAUCCACAACGAGCAUAUCCUCACUGAAAACAUCUAUAUGAUUGGUGGCAACCCGGCCUCUGACAUCAUUGGUGGGACCGGCGUUUUCCAGGGUAAGGCCUGAUGAGAACAAUCCAGCCAACUUUGGCGUAUUUGACACCAUGCUGGAUGGGGUGCAAGCUGCCGUGCAGAAAGAGCUGAGCCACCAAUUCAAGCUUCGGUGGGGUGAGAAUGAGGGGGUCAAAUCUGCUCUGAAUGGCGAUAUCAUUGUGUCGGCUUGAAGAAAACAGCAAUUCUAGAAACAACUUUUCCCCCCUCCACUAGAAUUUCUUUCUUUUCCCUUUGUUCUUUCCAUUCCUCUCCUUCUUUGCUUCUGGCAUCUAGGUACAUCCUGGAUUUUUCGAUUCUAGAGCUUCUUUUUCCUUCUGAUCUUCCUUUUCCAUGUUCACUAGUCUUCGCUUUUUCUUAUUUGGGUAUUAGGCGUUGGGCCUCUCGUCAGACUAUGGACGGUUGAGGGUAUUCCGAAACAUUUCUAUAUUUCAUUUUCUCACUCAUGAUAUGAAUGCAUAGAUAAACAGUGCGGAUUGGCAUUGCCGCCACUAGAAAUUCAAUUGCCACAAUAAGGGA
This 1615-nucleotide small RNA is filed under the name Histoplasma capsulatum. RNAcentral's name for it is "hypothetical RNA". RNAcentral also lists the same sequence under 1 other name. The record is from RNAcentral. Lineage: Eukaryota; Fungi; Ascomycota; Eurotiomycetes; Onygenales; Ajellomycetaceae.